UUAAGAGCUUGUUUGUGGUUUUCUGAAACAUGAGACCUCUUUGCUGUUUUCCGUGUGUGUAGUGGAGGUUCAUAGGGAGCAGUGAGCUCAGUCGGUGAUGUCAGAAGUGGGCAGGUCUGUUUUGUAUUGGCUGUAAUGUAAUUGUCCGUAGCCUAUUCAGCUUCACUGUCUCAGAAGCUAUACGAAGGUGGCAUGUCUGCACAGUGGCUCAAAGUUACCCUCCCACCUGAACCACAGAACUUUGAACAGAUAGAGCAGUCUCUUCAUCGCUCCAUCUCAGUCCAUGGCAACUGUAGUGCCUGAAGCAAGCAUCUUCUCCACCACCACCUAGCUCUCCGGCCAAGUCAAACAGGAGAUGUCUGCCUUCCUGCUUUCGCCACAGACGUAAUACUAGUAACAUAAAGAGUUUUGGAUGAUAAUGGAUCCCAAGAGCCCACCCCUACCCUUCCAACAAUCCUUACCCAGCCGAUGGGAGUUCCCUUCACGUUUCCACACAAACCCGUACAGAGAAGCACAGACUCCAUGUCCCCAUGCUUCGUUUGUUGGGGGUAGGGGGGGGCACUCCUGAGACAAAGAAAACAUGUAUUUUGUGUACCAGUGACUGACAGACUCAGCUUCAACCACACCGAUUUAUUUUGUCUUGUGCGUAAUUUCAAAAGGUGAGACUCUGCUCACUGCAAAGGUCAGCCGGUAAUUAAACCUGUGGAAUGUUUCUAGGGGUCAGGAAAGGAGACCAAACUGUUUUUGGGGGUUUGGGUGUUGGGUUGUUUUCUUUUUUAGGUGUUUAAUUCUGGGUGUACAUUGCUAAACGGAAAGUGUAAUUGACUGAC
This is a long non-coding RNA of Oncorhynchus tshawytscha (Chinook salmon), 830 nucleotides long. The record is from Ensembl. NCBI's taxonomy places the organism in Eukaryota, Metazoa, Chordata, Actinopteri, Salmoniformes, Salmonidae.